Molecule: ribosomal RNA, 440 nt
Filed under: uncultured bacterium
Lineage: Bacteria
Description: partial 16S ribosomal RNA
Rfam family: Bacterial small subunit ribosomal RNA
Source: RNAcentral
CCUACGGGAGGCAGCAGUGGGGGAUAUUGCACAAUGGGGGGAACCCUGAUGCAGCGACGCCGCGUGUGUGAAGAAGCGCCUCGGCGCGUAAAGCCCUGUCAGCAGGGAAGAAAAUGACGGUAUCUGAAGAAGAAGCCCCGGCUAACUACGUGCCAGCAGCCGCGGUAAUACGUAGGGGGCAAGCGUUAGGCGGAUUUGCUGGGUGGAAAGGGGGCGCAGACGGCGAUGCAAGCCAGGAGCGAAAGCCCGGGGCCCAACCCCGGGACUGCUCUUGGAACUGAGUGGCUGGAGUGCAGGAGGGGCAGGCGGAAUUCCUGGUGUAGCGGUGAAAUGCGUAGAUAUCAGGAGGAACACCGGUGGCGAAGGCGGCCUGCUGGACUGCAACUGACGUUGAGGCCCGAAAGCGUGGGGAGCAAACAGGAUUAGAUACCCUGGUAGUC